CCCCUCCCACCCGCGCAGCCGACCGCGGGGCCUGCUGGGAAGUGUAGUCCGUUCCGUGAGGCAGGCCUGGGGGCUAGAAGCGCACAGCCGGACACUCAUCUACCUGAGAGAGGCCUGGGGAUUCGCUGAGAAGAAAACUAGAGACUUCUGUCCCACUGCUCUCCGUCAGAAUCCACCCAAAACACCCUGAAGAAACUUCCAUCGUGACCCCUGAGGCCACUGACGCAGCCUGCGUUCACGCCCCUGUGGAAUCCUCUUGACACGCCAAAACUUGGGGUGUCUCAGUUUGAAGGAAGCAUUUGUCCUCCCCUCACAUGUGCUUUAACUCAGUAACCCACAGUGACUCCGCUUUCACUGAGUCAGGCUUCGGAUUCUUGGCUCCUGAAUUUGAAGAAUGAAGUUCAUGGACCAUGGAGUAAAGUUUAGCUUAAAAGAGUUUUUAAAACAUCCAUAGGUAGGAGCUUGAAAGAAAACAGAGCCUGCCCAUCCCAGGAAAUGAGGUACCAACUAGCCUCAUGCCAGGGGCUGGGGAUGAGUUAGAGGUGUCUCCACUCAGUUCCCAAGUCUUGUCCUCACCUGUAACUUCCGCACAAAGGUCAUAGUUCAUCACUGAAGAAAGUUGGAGCAGGAACUUGAAGGAAAAAGUAUGGGGGAACAAAAUAAUAGAGGAAAAGUGCUUCCUGGAUCACUAGCAGGGAAUCAUGACCAAGCCUAACAGCGACUUUCAAGUCUCCAAAAAGAUGAUGAGACCCACAACGAUGAUUCCACAUGGACAAUAAUAAUACCACUAAGCUGACAAACACCACCCAAAGAUUGACUUUGGACUACACACUGCUCAGGACAAUUUCAAGAUUGCUAGGAAGCUUAAAAAGUAAUAGAUCUGUCAUCCUAACAAGACUGUGGCUUAUAUCCAUUUCAUGAGAUCAAGUACAUUUACUUAAAGUCACACACUGGAAGCAACUGAGUCCGAACUUGAGCCCAGCCUGCUUAUUUACAGCAUGGCUCCCAGCCACAAGCUGCACCAUUGGAGAUGGAAUCAGGCUAUGUUUUCUGCCUUCAAUCUCAGUGUUGAAAUUGCCUUUCGAACUUGAACCAGCCAAAAAAAAAAUUCUAAAUGAAAAACAAGAAUAAAAAGAGCAAAGUCUGAAACCAACUUGAGAAGUGAACAGUGUGUUUGGGCUGCACAUGUUUGCCGAGAGCGUGUGACAGCCUUCAUGGAGCAGGCCCUUCCUCGGCCAGGCCUGGCUGCUGGGCCAGCUCCGCCACCAUGUCCCAGAAGCCGUGGGGCAGCAACGGAAGUCAUAUUUGGAGGUUCCCCACAGAAGCUUGUUUACCGACUCCUCAGAACCACGCUUGCCUGCUUCCUCGUUGGUUUCCUGCCACGGCACGAUCGAUUCUUACAGAUACAUUUCUCUAGAAGUCGAGUGGUGCCAGGCAACCCGUGCCAAAGCAGUCUCAUUUCCAUGUGUGGUCUGGGUGGAUUGGGGGAGGCUACAGGCAGAACCGCUCCGAUUUCAGCAGCCUGCUUGGAAGAGUGUCUCACCCACCUGAGCCUCCCUAGAGUGGUCAUCUGACCUAGUCCUUCCCCUGCUGGAACCCAGGGUGCCACAUUACCUGCAAGACAGACUGGGAACUCAGCCAUGUGCAGGGCCACCAGGGAUCUCAGUCUUGGGUGCUAUGGUCCCUUCCCACUGCUCUCCUGAGCACUUGCAUCUCCAUAAUGCAACUCUCCUUUCAGUACUGCUUGAGCCAACCAGAAUGCUCUGCCCUGCCUUGUCCCCACAGCUAAUCCACACUCAGCUGGAGAGCCCAACUGAACCGAACAUCCCCACCUUCCCUUUCUCUGCUCCACCCAACUGGAAAGAAUCAACACCCCCAAACCCAACCCCCAUGAGUUCUUAUGUGCUCCGUGCUUAUGACAGGAACUUGGGACAGGAUGUUUCUUAAAAUUCAAAACGUUCAGUUUAUAAAAGAUAGAAAAGACCAAA
Molecule: long non-coding RNA, 1988 nt
Organism: Peromyscus eremicus (cactus mouse)
Lineage: Eukaryota; Metazoa; Chordata; Mammalia; Rodentia; Cricetidae
Exons: 5
Source: RefSeq, a predicted model, not a curated record